RNAcentral lists this ribosomal RNA (509 nucleotides) under uncultured bacterium. RNAcentral describes it as "partial 16S ribosomal RNA". It matches the Rfam family "Bacterial small subunit ribosomal RNA", at positions 28 to 523 of the family's 1533-position model. The record is from RNAcentral.
GACGAACGCUGGCGGCGUGCUUAACACAUGCAAGUGGUGCGACGAACCAGGCUUCGGCCUGGGGCGAAGCCGCGAACGGGUGAGUAACACGUGGGCAAUCUGCCCCUUUGAUCGGGACAACCCGGGGAAACCCGGGCUAAUACCGAAUGAGGUGGCGACUCAUGAGAGUCGUCACGAAAGGAAGCUUCGGCCUCCGCGAAGGGAUGAGCCCGCGGCCCAUUAGCUUGUUGGUGGGGUAAUGGCCUACCAAGGCAACGAUGGGUAGCUGGUCUGAGAGGACGAUCAGCCACACUGGGACUGAGACACGGCCCAGACUCCUACGGGAGGCUGCAGUGGGGAAUCUUGCGCAAUGAGCGACAGCUUGACGCAGCAACGCCGCGUGAGGGAAGAAGGCUUUCGGGUCGUAAACCUCUUUCAGUUAGGACGAAGCUUUAUCGGUUAAUAACCAAUUGGAGUGACGGUACAUUCAGAAGAAGCCCCGGCUAACUCCGUGCCAGCCGCCGCCGUAA